CCUACGGGAGGCAGCAGUAGGGAAUAUUGCACAAUGGGGGAAACCCUGAUGCAGCAACGCCGCGUGGGGGAUGAAGGUUUUCGGAUUGUAAAGUCCUUUCGUUAGAGAAGAUAAUGACGGUAUCUAACGAAUAAGCACCGGCUAACUACGUGCCAGCAGCCGCGGUAAUACGGAGGGUGCAAGCGUUACUCGGAUUCACUGGGCGUAAAGGGCGCGUAGGCGGGUUAGCAAGUCAGAUGUGAAAUGCUAUGGCUUAACCAUAGGACUGCAUUUGAAACUGUUAUGCUAGAGUAGAGGAGAGGUAAGCGGAAUUCCUGGUGUAGGGGUAAAAUGCGUAGAUAUCAAGAGGAACACUCAUGGCGAAGGCGACCUGCUAGA
RNAcentral lists this ribosomal RNA (378 nucleotides) under uncultured bacterium. RNAcentral describes it as "partial 16S ribosomal RNA". It matches the Rfam family "Bacterial small subunit ribosomal RNA", at positions 338 to 733 of the family's 1533-position model. The record is from RNAcentral.